RNAcentral lists this unclassified non-coding RNA (229 nucleotides) under uncultured fungus. Its description in RNAcentral is "sequence contains ITS1, 5.8S rRNA gene". The stretch from base 181 to 229 matches the Rfam family "5.8S ribosomal RNA", at positions 1 to 49 of the family's 154-position model. Lineage: Eukaryota; Fungi. The record is from RNAcentral.
UCUCCGUAGGUGAACCUGCGGAGGGAUCAUUACCGAGUGAGGGUCCUUGUGGCCCGACCUCCAACCCCCUGUCUUCCGACUCUGUUGCCUCGGGGGCGACCCUGCCGUCCGCGGCUGAGCGCCCCCGGGGUCAAUCAAACACUGCAUUCUCUGCGUCGGAGUAUUAGUAAAUCUAAUCAAAACUUUCAACAACGGAUCUCUUGGUUCUGGCAUCGAUGAAGAACGCAGC